Molecule: ribosomal RNA, 775 nt
Filed under: uncultured Neocallimastigales
Lineage: Eukaryota; Fungi; Neocallimastigomycota; Neocallimastigomycetes; Neocallimastigales
Description: partial large subunit ribosomal RNA
Rfam family: Eukaryotic large subunit ribosomal RNA
Source: RNAcentral
UACGACUACAUAUCAGGCAUAUCAAUAAGCGGAGGAAAAGAAACUAACAAGGAUUCCCUUAGUAACGGCGAGUGAAGCGGGAAGAGCUCAAAUUUGAAAUCUUCAAGGUUUUACCUUGACGAAUUGUAGUUUAAAGAAGUGUUUUCUGUUGGAGUUUUGGUAAAAGUUCUUUGGAAUAGGACAUCAUAGAGGGUGAGAAUCCCGUAUUUGACCAUUAUUUCCAGCUGUGUGAUACACUUUCAAAGAGUCGGAUUGUUUGGGAAUGCAGUCCAAAAUGGGUGGUAAAUUUCAUCUAAAGCUAAAUAUUGGCGAGAGACCGAUAGCGAACAAGUACCGUGAGGGAAAGAUGAAAAGAACUUUGAAAAGAGAGUUAAACAGUACGUGAAAUUGUCAAAAGGGAGGCGUUUGACACCAGUGUUGUUUUCUCGAAAAUCAAUUAAAAAUGGCUGGAUUUUGUGUUGUAUUGACCUUAUAAGCUUUCUGCACUUUUUUCUAUGUCUUUUUUAAUGCACUUUUCGUUUAACAAGUCAACAUCAAUUUCUUUUGUUGUAAAAGGGUCAUUGGAAGGUGGCUUUCACUUCGGUGAAAGUGUUUAUAGCCUUUGACUUCUGCAAUCGGAGAGAUUGAGGUCUGCAGCGCAGAUCCUUCGGGGUUAGAUACAUUUGUGCUAAGUUAUAGCUUUUCAUAGACAACUUGUUGACUAUGUUUAGUCUUGUAGCUUACUCGCUUAUGCUAUUUUACCUACGCUUAGGAUGUUGAACGCGCACAGAGUCUC